AUUGAACGCUGGCGGCAUGCUUUACACAUGCAAGUCGAACGGUAACGGGGACUUCGGUCUGCCGACGAGUGGCGAACGGGUGAGUAAUAUAUCGGAACGUAUCCAGAAGAGGGGGAUAACGCAUCGAAAGAUGUGCUAAUACCGCAUAUUCUCUGAGGAGGAAAGCAGGGGAUCGCAAGACCUUGCGCUUUUGGAGCGGCUGAUGUCUGAUUAGCUAGUUGGUGGGGUAAAGGCCUACCAAGGCGACGAUCAGUAGUUGGUCUGAGAGGACGACCAGCCACACUGGGACUGAGACACGGCCCAGACUCCUACGGGAGGCAGCAGUGGGGAAUUUUGGACAAUGGGCGCAAGCCUGAUCCAGCAAUGCCGCGUGAGUGAAGAAGGCC
Molecule: ribosomal RNA, 386 nt
Filed under: uncultured bacterium
Lineage: Bacteria
Description: bacterial SSU rRNA
Rfam family: Bacterial small subunit ribosomal RNA
Source: RNAcentral